UACGAAGGGGGCUAGCGUUGUUCGGAAUUACUGGGCGUAAAGCGCACGUAGGCGGAUUGUUAAGUCAGAGGUGAAAUCCCGGAGCUCAACUUCGGAACUGCCUUUGAUACUGGCAAUCUAGAGUCCGGAAGAGGUUAGUGGAAUUCCCAGUGUAGAGGUGAAAUUCGUAGAUAUUGGGAAGAACACCAGUGGCGAAGGCGGCCUUCUGGACGAUGACUGACGCUGAGACGCGAAAGCGUGGGGAGCAAACAGG
This 253-nucleotide ribosomal RNA is filed under the name uncultured bacterium. RNAcentral's name for it is "partial 16S ribosomal RNA". It matches the Rfam family "Bacterial small subunit ribosomal RNA", at positions 524 to 776 of the family's 1533-position model. The record is from RNAcentral.